Molecule: ribosomal RNA, 465 nt
Filed under: uncultured bacterium
Lineage: Bacteria
Description: partial 16S ribosomal RNA
Rfam family: Bacterial small subunit ribosomal RNA
Source: RNAcentral
GACGAACGCUGGCGGCGUGCUUAACACAUGCAAGUCGAACGCUGAACCCGCUUGGGUGGUGGAUGAGUGGCGAACGGGUGCGUAACACGUGGGCAACCUGCCCCCGGCUCUGGGAUAACUCCAAGAAAUUGGGGCUAAUACCGGAUGUGACUGCUGGCUGCAUGGUCUGGGGGCGGAAAGGGUUUCCGGCUGGGGAUGGUCUCGUGGCCUAUGAGCUUGUUGGUGGGGUAGUUGCUUACCAAGGCGACGACGGGUAGCCGGCCUGGGAGGGUGACCGGCGUCACGGGGCCUGCGGGAGGGCCCAGUCGCCUACGGGAGGCAACGGUGGAGAGUAUGGCGGAGUGAGCGGGAGCCUGACGCAGAGGCGCCGCGUGGGGGAUGCCGGCCUUCGGGUUGUAAACCUCUUUCAGCAGGGACGAAGCGCAAGUGACGGUACCUGCAGAAGAAGCACCGGCCAACUACGUG